This is a long non-coding RNA of Mus caroli (Ryukyu mouse), 348 nucleotides long. RefSeq lists it as uncharacterized. The record is from RefSeq and is a predicted model, not a curated record. NCBI's taxonomy places the organism in Eukaryota, Metazoa, Chordata, Mammalia, Rodentia, Muridae.
AGUUACAAGCCAAUUUUGGAAGCAGAACUCUUUUCAAAGGGCAUCCUCCUCUCUGCCUGCCAAUCAGAUCAAAGAAGCUCUGAACAGGCUGACCUGGGGCAGGACUGGUGAGAUGGCUCAGCAGGUAAAGGUGUUUGCUGCCAAGUCUGACAACAGAAAUUGACCCCCCCAGGACACACGUGUGGUAGAAGGAUCAUACACACCUCGAAGCCAAAGACCAAGUCUGUGCUGCUCUGGACGAGCUCUUCCAGGUACAAUAUGCUCCGUGAACUGUUGCCAGGGGAACAAACAUGAACUCUCAAAAAAACAUUUGAAACCACCCCACACCGAUUUGCCUCCUUUCUCGGC